AUUCGGAGCAACCAGAUGGAUUGCCCUUCAAAAUCAAAUGUGAUUUUGAGAUUAAGAGAUUUCUCCUGUCUGACUCCAUUCAGAACAAGAUGGAGUAUUCACUACUGGGGCUGAAAAGGACUGUCAAGACAAUGGAGGACAGGGAUUUUUUGGUUGAGUUGGUUGGUCAACAAGGCAGCAUCGUGAAGGAUUUUGACCAGUUAAGUGAAAUGGUAUAAACUCUAUUAUAACAUAUAUUAUUAGAUGUUAGAUUGGAUUAAUUAUAUUGUCAUUGACCAAGUACAAGCACAGUACAACUAAAUGUUUCUGUGCUAUAAUGUAUGUUAUCAAAUGACCUCUUAACACAUUAUUGUUCACUAUACAAUGUUUGUAGCAAUUCAUUUUAUUUAAAUGAAUUUAUCUAACUCGUUACAUGUUAAAAUCUGGUCUGAACACCAUCGGGUGGCUUGAGGCCUUGGGGAACCACCCGGACUGCCUCAGGAAUUUUUUUGAACCCCUUAAAGCCUCCCACUCACUGGCCAACCGUGGUUACACCCCACCCGCAUGUGAAGUGGAUCCUUCCCAAGAUUAACGUACCAGCUGACGUCUGACUGUGACAACAGCAUAGAAACACACAAUAAAAAUGUGAACACAAAAUCAUUUUGUGACAGAGGCCAAGCACGGCCCCGACGCCACCCACCGAGGGCAGCCAUCUGGGGCAAGGCGGGGCGUUUGCAGGCGAAUACGCGCCGGAACAGUAGACAUUCACCGUUACAUUAUUGAAAUCGCCUGCAAACGGCCCGUCUCGCUUGCCCCAGAUAGCCGCCGCUUAUGCUCGUAUCCGCUAUGGGGGUUUGUUUUUUGGCGGGGGAGGGCUGUGUUGACAUCUCUUCGUGAACUUAUUUUUUAAUUAACACGAAACCACCAAAAUAAUUGUUCUCACUCAGGGACAAAAUUAUAAUAAUGUUAUAAUAACCGCUAUGCUGGCAGGCAACGUAUUUCUGUGGUGGUGUCAUAUAAAACAAACAACUCAAUGCUAAAAGAUUAAUAGCACAUUUAACAACACAGUGCUAACAUAUAAAACUAAUCUGAAACAUCUCUGCCAACAAUCUCUGCCACCAUCCUCCAAACCAGGGACGUGGCUAGGCAUAUUUUAGGCGGGCUAAACCCCUAAAGUGACACGAAGAGAUUAAUUAGCUCCCCC
Long non-coding RNA from Esox lucius (northern pike), 1183 nucleotides. The record is from Ensembl. Lineage: Eukaryota; Metazoa; Chordata; Actinopteri; Esociformes; Esocidae.